This is a long non-coding RNA of Onychostoma macrolepis, 3050 nucleotides long. RefSeq lists it as uncharacterized. The record is from RefSeq and is a predicted model, not a curated record. Lineage: Eukaryota; Metazoa; Chordata; Actinopteri; Cypriniformes; Cyprinidae. The transcript is spliced from 3 exons.
GUCAAUCACAGUGUCAGUAAACAGCAAUUUAAUUCAGAAUCAUCACUGCCCUGAGUAUUUCCCCACAAAGCAGAUGAUAACAUGUCUUUUAAACUGGGCUUGCAAAGGUUUUUCUAAAGACUGAACAAUAUUUAUUCAAUAAUAAUGGACUCCGUUCACUAUAUUUAAGGACAAGAUACCUAUAUCACGUCACAUCACGUAAUUUUCUGUCACAUGUGCUAUAACAUAUAUCCAUGACUGGUCGAGUGGCAGCUCCACCUGCCACGCAAAGAUUUUACCCCCUCUCUCAUCUUGCCAUCUCAUAGUUAGUUAAAUCAUUUUAUAUUUCUGGGUAGAAACGCAUUUUUGUUGAGGCUGUAUGAGACGGACUACAUUCAAAGCACUUUUCAAAACUGCCCAAUAUGUUCAUGGAUGUAUUCGAAUUAAAGGGAGGCAAAGGAUUAGCUUGCAGUGACAUCUUUCAUAAGGACAAUUUAUGAGGCCAAGUGACUCUAAAAAAAAAAAUCAUGUUUAUUUUUUUAUUAAAUCAGAACUAAUUGUUAACUCAACAAAUUAAAUAUAAAUAACUGGAUACUUAUAACUAAUUAAAUAGUAAAUGUAUUGAUUAGAGUUACCAUAGACAAAAGAUUUUUCUGGUUGACUAAAUUGCACAUUAAUUUCUGCUUAAAUACUGGGUGCAUGGAGGAAUAUGCAUAAAUCUCACCGCAAAAACAGGCUAAUAAUAAGGCUAUGUCUUUAAAAUUAACGAGGCAUCUUAAUUGUUUCUAAAUGAAGUAUGUGGGGCUAAGACGCCAGGCCUGUUUGUCAGGCGCUGUAUAACAGCGCUUCCUCGCGCUCAGAAAAGGUGCAGAAGAUCAUCAAAAAUCGUGAUAUAGCAUAAGCACUAGUAUAAAACGACUGUUAUCAUUUCUGAAAACAAACACAAUGGAGUUACAAAACUGUAUCGCACAUCGCAGCCCUGCUCGAGGAUUAUUCAUAUUUUGGAUUUGUAGGCUAUUACGAGAUGGUCUAAUAGGCAUUUCCAGUUAACAUUACAACUCGAGAGAGUUCUGCAUUGAAUAAAGUAAAGGUAAACCAUGUCUUUUGUGUAAUUCUGGCCCGCCGCGGUCACUGCUGUGGGGCUAGAUAGAGCACUAUAGCGUUGGUUCCGCCGGUGUUCUCCAGCGGUCAGAAGAAAUAGCGGUGCUGUGUUAAUAGAUUUGGGUACACUAUGGGUACAGACAUGUAUUUUGAGCUAGCUGUCACAAAAAUAGACUGGACCAAUGAGGUUUUGCUAACUUUAUAACCUAGAAGAGAUCAAGUACUUUUGGCAGAUUUUGACACAUUGGUAAAACAAAAAUCUAUUUCAGUGACUGCAGCACUGCGUCGGUUACUACAUUAACCAUCAUGUUAACGACGUCGUUUCCCGGUCAACUGUAAAUCAAUGACUUUUCAACACAUUCAGCGAUCGCCCGGUAAACCAAAUAUCAAUGCUUAAUCAAUCAUAAAGAUAACUAUAGAUCAAUGUUGUUCCAAUAUUGUUGCCAUCAACAUUAAUAACAUCAGGUUUUCAUCGAUAUGGUAAUGGUGAUUCAACAUUUAUUUUACAUUGAAAUUUCAACAUCAACCAUAAUGAUGAUUCAGAUGGAAAAACAAUGUUUAUUCAAUGUUGGCUUGCUGUCUGGGGCUGUUUUGAAAAUAACCGCGUUCGUGUGGACGGCCAAUGAGCGCGCGCGGUGAGCAUUCAAAUCGCAUUUAAACUGGAGCAGAGGAGGUUACCAUGGUAACGGUGUCAACUCACUCUGCUGACAAGUAGUGAGAGGCUGUCUCUCUGCUGUUUUCACUGCUUUCAGGUAAGUUUAGUCCCUAAAGUUACACAAAUAAUACAUACAACUGUUCCUGACACUUUCUUACAUGUUACUGACACGUUUCUGUUGAAUCUUUACUUUACAGGAGUGGUUUAGUGUCUUCAAAAAGACCGUUAGCAUCACAACCGUUAACCAUAGAGGCUAACAAUUAGAGGUGAGCUAACUUAUACAUUUAAGCUCUUAUUAAUGAACGUUUGAGCUUUUAAGCACCUUUUAUGUGUAGAUGAGCGGCUUUGAUAGUUUUGUAAAUGUUUUGCUGAUACUUUGUCAAUAGAUAAAUGGAAGUCACUAUAAGCUAAUUAAUUUAACCUAAAAGUCUGCACUGUGGGGGUCAAUCGGUGACAUCACUUACAUGAACUAAUGGGCUGAAACUAUUUCAAACACGUUUUGAACUUUCAUUGCAAACAAAUAUUGAUAAAUUGUACUGUGAUUUCAGGAGCAUCAGAAAAAAAUACCUAAAACAGGGGAAGUUACAAGAAAAUUUGUAAUGAGAGCUGCUGACAGAGAUACAGGAAACACAGAGCUGGAGCGGAACAGAUCUCCUGUCGAAGAACAUCUCCAAAGCGCCAUGAACCAUCUGACUAGGCAGUUCGUGAAGACGGAUAACCUGGACAGAAGUCGGUUCCAGAUCCAGCCUCCACACCAGACUUCUCACUCACAAGGAUUGCUGUCUACUAGAUAUUAUGUGUACUCUUCAGACUUAGGUUCAUGCAGAUAUUAUUCAGGGACAUGAACACUUGAAUACUGCAAAAAUAGAGAAACUACCUUAUUUAAGAAUUUUGUGUUAAUUGCGUGAACAUUAAACAAAUAUAUAUUUAUUUUACUGUUUUUUGUUUUGUAUUCCAAAGCACCUAAAAGCCAAUUCACACUGCCAUACACCAACAGGGUGAACACACUGACCAAGCAAAACAAAUAAGCAUGUUUUUAUAUUUUUUGUGAAAGUGUGAACUGACAAUGCUGUAUGUUAGGUGUGAGAUUCAUUCAACUUGGUUUGCUGAUUAAACAUGAUUAAAUAUUUGUUCAGAAUAUUGUUGUUGUUGUGACUAUUCAUCUGGGAGGGGUGUGUAUCAAGUGGCUUGGUUAUGGUUUUGUUGAGGUCAAGCGAAUAGGACCAGAACAGGGCCAGCUAUGGUCAUACGGGUAUGGUCAUACAGGACCUCAGAUCCCACAUAGCAAUUUUUCUCUGGCCCAGCUCCGGCCCAC